Tarenaya hassleriana is the source of this 1090-nucleotide long non-coding RNA. RefSeq lists it as uncharacterized. The record is from RefSeq and is a predicted model, not a curated record. The transcript is spliced from 3 exons. Lineage: Eukaryota; Viridiplantae; Streptophyta; Magnoliopsida; Brassicales; Cleomaceae.
AGUUGAGUGAGAAAUUGCAAAAGCCCUCGACACGCCAAUUUCGCGUUGGGCCUCAAAUCUCUCUCGGCUCUCCCUUCUUUGAUGUCAUCUCUACCAAUUCGUGUAAUGUUAAUAUGGCUGAUACGAUCAUAAUCUGCUUUUUUCGAGAAGAAUUUGACGGGAUCAGGAAAUCGGGCGUUCCAGAUUCAUUCGUCGAUGGUCCUUGACCAUCGGAUCGUGUAACACCAGGAACCGUGGUUGUGAAGAGAUUUGCUGGGAGGAGAUCAUUGGCGGCGGCGGGCUGCUUCUACCUCUCGACUUCUACUCUUGAGACUGAGAGAAACCAGGAUGAUUGACUCGCCCUUUGUCUACGUAAUUGAUCAUCAGAGGGACUUUAUCAAGGUUGAAUCACUUCGUCGUCUCCGGUGAAUGCUAGUUUUCGAUUUUGGAGGGAGCUUGGUGCAAACACAACUCGGUAGGAACAAUGUUGAUGUUAGAAAUGGCCCGAGGGCAUUGUAGCUUGGUGAUGGCCGUUGUAAGAUCUCGUGUUCAGAGCGAAGGAGAAAAAUUUUCUGGCAAAACUAGGGAUGGGCAUUUCGGUUGGGGAAUUUAGUCCAAGAAAUUUAACAAAGGGUGAUCAGUUAUGUUCAUGCCGGCAGAAUCCCAGAGCCCUGAGGUAGCAGUGGUUUGCCUUCAACCACAACAUUUGCACUGAAGUUGUCAAGGGGCAUCCAAAGAUUUUGGAGAAAGUAAAAUAUGCAUGAAGCUGCAAAAACCAGAUGCAAUUCCACACGACGCACAUGCACAGCAAUCACGACAACGUAGAAGCCAAUGUAAGAUUUCCAAAAAAAUGGGUGUUUUUCCUUGAAAGAUUCCGGAUAAAGGAACCAAGUUUGAGGCAUCUGGAUGGAUUCACGGUGUCUUUUAGCUAAAAGGCGCCGACUUUCAGAGACCCAUAUGGAUUUUUCAGCAAAAAGGAUCUAAUUUUUAGAUGCAUGGAUAGUUUUUUUUUUUUACAAAAGAAACUAAAAUCAGAGGAAACCCAGAUGGAAAUCAUGAUCAGAAAUUCAGAGAAUUGUUGCUCAAGGGAUUUUUCUUACAGUUGGGAAUU